GACGAACGCUGGCGGCGUGCUUAACACAUGCAAGUCGAACGGAAAGGCCCUGCUUUUGUGGGGUGCUCGAGUGGCGAACGGGUGAGUAACACGUGAGUAACCUGCCCUUGGCUUUGGGAUAACUUCAGGAAACUGGGGCUAAUACCGGAUAGGAGCUCCUGCUGCAUGGUGGGGGUUGGAACGUUUCGGCGGUUGGGGAUGGACUCGCGGCUUAUCAGCUUGUUGGUGGGGUAGUGGCUUACCAAGGCUUUGACGGGUAGCCGGCCUGAGAGGGUGAACGGCCACAUGGCGACUGAGAUACGGCCCAGACUCCUACGGGAGGCAGAAGUGGGGAAUAUUGCACAAUGGGCGGAAGCGUGAUGCAGCAACGCCGCGUGCGGGAUGACGGCCUUCGGGUGGGAAACCGCUUUCGCCUGUGACGAAGCGUGAGUGACGGUAAUGGGUAAAGAAGCACCGGCUAACUACGUG
RNAcentral lists this ribosomal RNA (468 nucleotides) under uncultured bacterium. RNAcentral describes it as "partial 16S ribosomal RNA". It matches the Rfam family "Bacterial small subunit ribosomal RNA", at positions 28 to 507 of the family's 1533-position model. The record is from RNAcentral.